Molecule: ribosomal RNA, 440 nt
Filed under: uncultured bacterium
Lineage: Bacteria
Description: partial 16S ribosomal RNA
Rfam family: Bacterial small subunit ribosomal RNA
Source: RNAcentral
CCUACGGGUGGCAGCAGUGGGGGAUAUUGCUCAAUGGGGGAAACCCUGAACCAGCGAAGCCGCGUGAGGGAUGACGCGCCUACGGGCUGUAAGCCUCGUUUGCCGGGGAGCAAAUAACGGUACCUGACGCGUAAGCCCAGGCCAACUACGUCCCAGCAGCCGCGAGAAAGCGUCGGGGGCAAGCGUUCUACGGAUUUAGUGGGGGUAAAGGGGGCGCAGUGGGGGAUGCAAGCCCGGAGGUAAAACGCGGGGGCCAAACCCGGGACUGCUGUUGGAACCGCGUGGCUGGAGGGCAGGAGGGGCAGGCGGAAUGCGUGGUGUAGCGGUGAAAUGCGUAGAGAUCAGGAGGAACACCGAUGGCGAAGGCGGCCUGCUGGACUGCAACUGACGCUGAGGCCCGAAAGCGUGGGGAGCAAACAGGAUUAGAUACCCCUGUAGUC